Molecule: ribosomal RNA, 503 nt
Filed under: uncultured bacterium
Lineage: Bacteria
Description: partial 16S ribosomal RNA
Rfam family: Bacterial small subunit ribosomal RNA
Source: RNAcentral
AUUGAACGCUGGCGGCAGGCUUAACACAUGCAAGUCGAGCGGGGUGAUGGUGCUUGCACUAUCACUUAGCGGCGGACGGGUGAGUAAUGCUUAGGAAUCUGCCUAUUAGUGGGGGACAACAUCUCGAAAGGGAUGCUAAUACCGCAUACGUCCUACGGGAGAAAGCAGGGGAUCACUUGUGACCUUGCGCUAAUAGAUGAGCCUAAGUCGGAUUAGCUAGUUGGCGGGGUAAAGGCCUACCAAGGCGACGAUCUGUAGCGGGUCUGAGAGGAUGAGCCGCCACACUGGGACUGGGACACGGCCCAGACUCCUACGGGAGGCAGCAGUGGGGAAUAUUGGACAAUGGGUGGAACCCUGAUCCAGCCAUGCCGCGUGUGUGAAGAAGGCCUUAUGGUUGUAAAGCACUUUAAGCGAGGAGGAGGCUCUUUUGGUUAAUACCCAAGAUGAGUGGACGUUACUCGCAGAAUAAGCACCGGCUAACUCUGUGCCAGCAGCCGCAGUAA